CACCGAAUGAGUCAAGUGUUGCAUCGUUAGCUGUGUUUACAUUUUUUGACCAACUGUGCCUUGAAGUUACAGGAGAUUGAUCAAAGAAUGCCCUGUAUUUUCAAUAGUCACGGACAACCCCGUUCUCUUUGUUUAACUCGGACACUAUUGUUUAAGGUGUUCCAUUUUAGAUAACGUUACUUUAUCCAAAAACCAUUUGUCUGUCACCUUCUGCCGGAGACUGUCCCCAUCAUCACGUCAGUUUGAGGGACCUUUUGCAGCAAGAAAAUACGCUGGAAAGCAUACAAUGCCCGAAAAGACCAAAACGAAUUAAACUGUAGGCCUAUAGAAGCCGUCGCAGACACCUUCGUCUUCUGGGCAAGUAGCUCGAGACAAGAACAACGUGGUGACAAUUUCAGUGCACGCGAAGCCUGAAUCUGAAUUGAACGCGAUUACAGGUGUACACUUUUUUGUAUGCGGAACACUGAUGGCAAAAGAAACUCCGCUAGUAAAGACUAAUUGAGUAUUUAGUUGUUGUUUUUACCGCCCCCCCACAAAAAAAGAUAUAUAUAUUUAUUUUACGUAGGUAAUGUACAAUAUAUUCAUUCCUAGUUGUGUCUAUAGUGGCAGUAGGUGUCGCUAUUGCCGCACCGCCAACUGAUGGGCAGGCCAAUGCGGAGCUUGUUCGGUAUCUCUCCAAGGUGCUGGCGUUGAAGAGAAGCGAAGUCGUUGUGGACAAGGUUUGAGAGCUGUGAAUGGACAUCUCUGGAUUCUUCAUGAUGCAUGGUUAUAUACUGUGUUGCCAAUAACAGAACAGUUUCAGGAAUUUAAACUAAAAUGUUUCAUCAUGUCCUUAUGCCUCUCUGCAGAGCUCAAGAUACUGAGAAUAUUGUCACGGUGACACUAACUCCAGAGCAGGGGUUGGACAGGUUAAAGCAGGAGGCUGUUUGAAUGUUAAUUACACCCAUAACAGAGGCUUCUCUAUGACACCAUGGAUGACUUUUUAGUUCAGGUCCUAUACACCUUUACAGUAUUGGUUGACUUUCAGACAUCUAUGGAAACAGCUCAGAUAAGAUAGUAGCCUACUUUAUUAAUCCCCAAAGGGGACAUUUGUUUGCAUCAGCUGAUGCACACACCAAUGAAUGCACAAUUUGUGACAUGCACUAUAGUCAAGCAUUCUACAAGGAUUUUAACUGUAUAGGCAUCUGAAAUACUUUUUUCCCCAAACUGUUGAAAGAACCCUUGUUUAUUGAGGCUUCCUCAGAAAUAAUUUGCUGUCUUAUCAUCUGUGACAUUGUUUUUUUAAAGUAAAAUUUCAAUCACAAUGAGUCUUGCCUCAGGCAUGGCUACUGAUAUGAUUGUUAUUGAUGUAUUAUGUUCAUACGGAAAAAGUUCACCCAAGUUCCCACCCUUUCAGGACAUCUACCUUCACCUCAUGAGGUAUCUGAGGUAUAUUUUUUAGCAAAUAUCUUAGAUCAUUUAGCUUUUUUUUCAUGCUUUUGUUGCCCCUAAAACGUGUUUUAUGUUUAUUUUCUUGGACAGCAUGUGGGUAUUUAUUUUUGUAUCGAAUUGCUGUAGUUGUGGUAAAUGAAAUGAGAUAUUUGUCAAUGGAAAUAAAAAUGUCAAUGACG
Oncorhynchus nerka (sockeye salmon) is the source of this 1610-nucleotide long non-coding RNA. RefSeq lists it as uncharacterized. The record is from RefSeq and is a predicted model, not a curated record. NCBI's taxonomy places the organism in Eukaryota, Metazoa, Chordata, Actinopteri, Salmoniformes, Salmonidae. The transcript has 2 exons.